AAGCUAGCACACGGUCCCCAUAUGUGUACACUAGUCCGAGUAGGGUUUGCCGCCCUACUAGGACCCGAAUUCGAUUUAACAUGAUUGGCACAGCCAAGCAGAUAUGUAAUCGUAAAAACAAAACAAAGCAUGACAAACAUGUUUAGAAAAGAUUCACCUUUUCAUACUAAAAUCACUUUUUGAAAAUAAUGCCCACCUGAUAUGCUUAUUCCUCAAUUUAAUUACUCGUGUUGGCCUCGCUCUGCCCUCGGGCAAAAUUUCCUUUGAAAAACACGCUAAUUAGUACUUGAACUAUUUCUCCUUAGAAAGAAUGCAUGCACCCUAUGGCAUUGCACCUAUAUCUUUAUUCUUGUCUCAUAGGAUCUCUAGUCCUUUCUCGAACUUCACUAUGUGGUAGGAUUUAUUUAUUCACUUCAACUAAAUCCAGUAAAAUUCUAUUACCUCAAACAAAUAAUCACUUGGGCACUUAUUAAAUAAAAUAUGGAUUAUGGGAAAAUCCCUUUUUAAAUAUUUCCUAUGAAUUUUCUUAAGGCCGCCCGCGACGCCGGUCGGCCCUUCGCCCUCAGAUACUUAGUAAUUUAUUUGAAAAUUAAUUAAUUGAGCUUCAACUCAAACCUUAAAUUAAUUCGAACCAAACAAUUUAUUUCCAAGCCCCACCAUUAACAUCUCGGCCCAAACUACUCUUAUUAUUUCUUUAGCCCACAUCAUCUCAAAAGUUCAUGGACUUUCCCUAGAAAUCAAUCCCCUCCAUUUAAAAGCAAGAGGAAAUCGGCCCAACUAUUAAAUAAUUAAAGGAUGCAGCUCAUUGGCCCAAGUGUGAGGAAUAUUAAGAGGCCCAAAGAUUUAAUCCACCAAGUCUUAUUGUACUCCUUCCACCAUCGGCACGUUCCUUCCACCAUAGGUUCACGGUGGGCUCUAGCAGCCUCCCAUCUCCUUCUGUUGACUUCACGGAGGAGUCCUCCGCCUCUCGUCGCGCUAUCGCCGGGCAAUCCUCUCUCUUAAGCUAAGUUUUCUUUUUUCUAUUACUUAGCUUAUUUCGUGGUUUCUACUUGGCAGUGACUAUGAAUAUUAAAAUUUUGAUUUUUGGGAGUAUUUAGCUCACUUGAAAGAGUCCUCACUUUCAUACAUGUUUACUGUGGAACGAUUUUGGUGGAUUUGCUAUUGUUGUUGGUAUUGAUGUGAAGAUCCUAAUGAAAUUCUAAGUUCUCAUGCUAUCUAUUGGCUUGUUCUAAAUUCGAUCCUGUGGCUGCACGAAACUUCCUAUAUGAUGCGUUGUUCGUGUUGGGAGAUUACCUUCACUGAAAAGUAGUCUCUGUUCUUUGAGUUUUCAGCUUUUAGACACCAAGUUCACCCACAAACCUUGGGGUUCCUAGUUGCAGUGAAGGGAAGAAUGAGUGAGUUUGAGUUGAGCAUGAAAACACUUGUGGGAAGGAAGGGAAGAGUUGUUACCUAUGGAAAGUAGGGCUGCCUGCAGGAACUCUGCAGAAAGCUCUAUUCGAAGCUCUCAAACUCCCUCUCAAAUUUGCUCUCAACUUGCUGAAUUUUUGAUGUGUGUGGAAGGGGGAAACUUAAGCAUAUGAUGGAGUUUUUAUAGACCAACUUGGUGUACUUUGGGAUGAUUAAAUGGGGCUGCCUGGACUCUUGUUUUCAUGUGCAGAAAAUCUCCCCUUUUUCGAUUCUUGCCACUUUUAAUUAAGGAAGAAUUUAUUUUAUGCUUAGGCCCAUGUCUCCCUACAUUAAUGUGCUUUGUUUGAUUUUGUAUAGUGUACCAAAAAGGGGAAAGCAGGGGCUGCCUUGAAGGGGGGAGGAGUUGCAGGACUCGGCUGCACCACUGUUGUCCGCGACGGCUCGCUGCCCCGGGCCCAACGGGCUGAUUGAAUAGGAUCGCGGUUGAGGUGCGGUUUGGGUUGGGAGGAAGUCGCCCAAGCCCUACAAACGGAUUCUUCUCUUCCCUUUUUUUUUGCUCUUUGGCCCAUUUGAGGGUGUUGUAAACAUUAAUAUCUCAUAACCCUUUCAUUUAUUUAUGUAAGGCGAUCAUGAAGUUCUCAAAAAGUUAUUCGAGCUUUAUGCAAACACUUUCAUUCGGGAAACGACUUCAUAUCCUUGUACAACGUUCCUUUUAUUUCAUAACGUAUAUUAGAUUGUUUAGUUCGUUCAA
This is a long non-coding RNA of Salvia splendens (bonfire salvia), 2158 nucleotides long. RefSeq lists it as uncharacterized. The record is from RefSeq and is a predicted model, not a curated record. The transcript has 2 exons. NCBI's taxonomy places the organism in Eukaryota, Viridiplantae, Streptophyta, Magnoliopsida, Lamiales, Lamiaceae.